Long non-coding RNA from Corvus moneduloides (New Caledonian crow), 2925 nucleotides. The record is from Ensembl. Lineage: Eukaryota; Metazoa; Chordata; Aves; Passeriformes; Corvidae.
AAGCUAUGUAAAUUGGCCAAAUCAUGAGGACUUUCUAGUUCCAGUGUCAAGUCAGUGGCUCCAAAGACUACAAAUACCAACUGAAAACAGCAUUGCAGCAGCAAAGAUAAGUGACUCUAAUACUUUAAGAAAAAUAGGACAUAGAUAACUUUUUUGAAUGCCAAGGAAAAGAUCUUAAUGGUAGAACCAGAAAAAAAACCAUCUUGUCCUCUUUCACCAAUAAAUUUUGUUUUGAAAUAUUUAUCUUUUCCUGAACUGCACACUAAUGUACAAGCUUCAAAAUCACACUGGUGAUUAGAUAGGCAUUAUUUAGAUAUUUCAUAGUCAUUUUACCAUUUGAUUCUUGUGGAUGAUCUUUCAUGUUAACAGUAAAACAAUAUCUUAACUUUGUCUCUUUCAGUUACAUCAGUUUAGGUUUUGACCUAAUUUUAGUAUUGAACAGCUUCCAAAACUAAAAUUGCUGGGAGAAAUAAAGCUUUAUUUUUCAUUUCCCUCCCCCCCCCCCAAACUGUUUCUGCAUUUUUCUUCCUCCUCUGUACAUCCUACUCACCAAGAGCCCAGAACUAAUAAAAGACCUUAUUUUUUCAGUUGACUGCAUAAAUGUAAAUGGGAAUUUAUGAGAAACAGUGCUAAAGGCAUUAUAGUAUAUCAGCGCUUAAGAAAUUUCUGAGCCAUUAUUUACAUAGCAUCCUUGUUCUCCUAAAUGCAAAUGUAUAGAAUAUUUCAAUAUUUUUUUUUUUCAGGAUUUCACUGGCCAAAUUUGACCAAACAUGUCUGGUCUGUUGUGUUUUGCGAUGAUGUUCUAAUCUGAACCUGAAGUUUUCACACAGAAAAAUCAGAUGAGGACACAGAAGAAUUCACUGGGCCAUCAGUGCAGCCCAGUUGCAAUGUAUAGGGGUAGUGGUGCAGUGACUGGUUUCACCCUUCUCUGGAUACCAGCUGUGGUAUUGGCUUCAGGGAGCCAACACAAGCACUUGAACUGUCCCUGGUACUUCAGGUUCGGCCUGAACGCCUCCAUAGGAAGACUCUCAACCAGGUUUUUCAGACACGCCCACAGUCCACAGCCCCUUCUGUUUCAUGAGCACUCUGAAAAUCAAGACACAAGUUACUGACUAUAUUUUCCUUAUGAAACUGAGGUAUUCAGGAGUGACUUAAUGACUUAUAAAUUGACAAGCUGUCUCAAAACUUCUGAAUUUGUGACCACCCCAUCUGUUACUUAUCUGUUCCCCUCCCAAAUGACUCCUGACUAUAGAUCAGCUGGUAGAUGGAGCGUCUAUCAACAAGAAAGAUCUAUCAAAGAGGUAAAUUUUGGACAACAGAGAAAAUUUAAAUGUUGGAACCCUGGGUUUAGAUAAUUUAGGUUUCUGGGAAUCUCCAAGUAUACCCUUAGGUAAAGAAUUUGGAUUCUAGAAUAAGCACUACAUCAUUACCAGUCUUCUUCUGUUCCUUGGUUGUUUUUUUGUUUGUAAGUUGGGGAUUUGUUUUGGUUUUUUUUUUUUUUUUUUCGGUUAAUUGGAAAUUAUGUUCCAGGAGAAUGAGAUUAUCUUCUUCAAAGAUUUCUGGAGUCCUUGAAAGAAUAACCUUCCUCCAAUGCCUGUGAGAAGGGCACUUUAUAAACCUGUGCAAAACAGCAAAACAUUGUCCUUGCUCAAAUCUCUUGUAACAACUUUAAGAUGUAUUGAUGACUAAAGAAAACUGCCAGCAGGUCAAACUCCCAUCUUCUGUGAUUUGUGCGUGUCAUGUUGGCCAUGACUGUCUCACGCUUGUUCCCUAACCUGUCCAUAUUGAUCUGCUGUAUCUUACAUGUAGAUGUCAGUCUCUAUGGAACAGAAAUUAGGUUUUUAUACUAUGUUUUUGCUUAGGAUGUUUCUUGAAGAUCAAUAGGUACUAUGGUAAUAUGAGUUUUAGAAAUCCUGUUGCCAUUUUCUGUAGUUCUGCUGUGUAGCUAAUAUCCUGACAAAUUGAUCCCAUCAGAAAUGCUUUCAGGAUGAGAGAUCCGUUCAGUUAUAUUGCAUAUGAUCUUCCACAGUUAUCUUGUCUGCAUCUACUACAAUUUGUUUCAAUUAAACAAGGCAGUUUACUACCAAAACCCUGAGCAGCUCAGUUUAAUGCUGAGUUUAGCCCUGUCUCAGCUGAAGGAGGGACCAGGAAAUCUCAAGAGGACCUUUCCACUCCAAAUUAUGUAAUGGUCUACAUUUGUCUUUUUGCUUUUGAAAUAGUUUUUCAUUUUUAUUUCAGUAAACUUUAGUUAGUGCUUUGCUAUAUUUUUGUUUUCUGGGCAGAGAUGCUGUGCUGGUGGUUGGAUGGGUUUCUUCCCUGUUUUGUCUCUUUUCUGCUCAAGGGAGUGUCACAGUGGUUUGAUCUUCUGGUUUCAAGGAUAUAAGGCUCCCUAAUGCCAGAUACUCAGAUUCUUUCACGGCUGACUCAGCCCUUCACUCUUUUUAGCAAAAUAAACUGCAGUUUUUAUGUAUGAAUUUUGCAGCUGUCACAUUAAAACUCCAAUGCCUUAACUGUUGGGACACUACAACCUUUUUUUCUUUUCACUCUGUUCUACUGCAUGGCUUUUGAUAUACAGAAAGUUAAGUCAUAAUUUAGUUUCAGCACUGGUCAAGCAAUAUGUGCUUCUCAAAACAUGUAGGAAAAAAACCCCCUCUCUUGAAAGGAUAAAUUUGAUAGCAUGUUUUAGCAGGUGGGAUAUGUAAAAAAAGCUAGUAUAUUAUUGGAAACUUUAGAAGAAAGGUAAGAAGCAACAGUGACUGACCUUAAAAGAAUCAAUUUUUUAACAAUCAUUUAUCAGAUAAAACAUCAGAAAAGAUUAAAAUAAAGAUCUUUGAUUCUUCUGCAUAGGAUUUUUUAGACUCUUAAAGUCCAAGCUUAUUCUGCCCGUCAGGAGUACAGCUAAUGAAGGGCUUUCUGAGGACUUUU